UCAAAUAAUCUGGUUGUUAUUUUCAACAUGUGAAGAAGAAGACUGGUAAUUUAAUGUUUACAAAUGAAAAUGUGCCAUGAAAGUAUAAAAUAAAAGCACAUGCUUAAAUUUGUGUUAUUCUUGCUGCUUUGGUUUCUCUUUUUAUUUGCAAUCUGAAAUGAAAGCAAACUGAAUUACUGCAAGGAGCAUAUUUAGGCAACUGUUCAGAAAGCACAACAGUGAGAUAGAAAUAAUUUUGCAGCGCGAUUCAGUAGAAGAAUUACUGGCCUUUGGAUUGACCAGAUUGUGCAGAAAAAGCCAUGAAUGUUAAAUGUACCUCAUUCAUCUGUAGCAGUCAUGAGCUUUCGUUUUCUUGUCCUCUAGACUUGUGAAGGAAGUGGGUGAAGGCUCCCUGAAUGCUUUCAUGCAGUGUUAACUGGAACUUAGUACAGCAGCUUCAGGCUGUGAUUCUUUUCCUCAUACAAGUCCUACUUUCUCUAAAUCUCUCCAGGCAGAAGGUGGCAGAGGAGGGGAAGAAAAAAAGCCCUUUUGAUUGUUUUCUAGCUUACUGCCAAUUCUUUUUAUCAGGUAGAAGUGUACCCUCCAGCAGGGAGCAAGUGUUGCUGCAUGAGGAAAGCAGCCGUGGGUAAGCAAGCUACUUACUGCUUUGUGCUUACGCUCCACAGCUGCAGUUCUUAAAGUUGCAGGAUAGGUGAAUUUCCCUUAGCAGCCUUUUACAAGUGCAAAAUGUUUGAAAAGUUUCCUCAUUUACAGAUCCAGCAAAUGCAUGCGUUGUUAUGGAAUCUCUGCAAAGCUGCGUAGUUCCAGCUGCUGCCCCUUUUGUCUUGUUUUGUUCUGCUUUGUGCAACAGGAAAACAACUUAGAUCCUGUGUGGAAACAGAUCUGGGCUGCCUCUGCUUGUGCUGGCCCCAGAAUCUGGAGAGCAGGGAAGUGAUACACAGAGAAACUUGAGCUGUCUGGGUCCAAGCCAGCUGGAGUGUGGGAGCAGAGCAGGAGCUCAGCACAGCUUACUGGCUCCAGUGCUCUGCCACUCUGGUGCAGCUCUUCUGCUUCCAGAUCUGAGCUGGCAAGUGUCUGCACCCCUGUGCUCCUCAGGUAGAAAGAAGGGGGACAGAGACCCAUGCCUCCUGCCAGAGGAGUGAGACCAGACAGCUGUGAGUUGCCAGGUAACUACAGCUGAUUUUUCUUCUGCUUCUAUUUUGCUGCAGGGACUGGAUUGUCUGGGUUCACAGAAUAGCCUGAGUAUGCUGACAGACACCAAGUGCUUUUUGAUUGUCUGAGAUGCCAGUUUUGGUACAGAGGGUACCAACCUAUCCCAAACAGGAAGUAGCUCUCUGUGCAAGCUCAUGACAGCUCUUUAAGCACUAAAAGGCUCAGGCUUGAAAAUUUAGUAAAAACCAAACCGGUAAACGUAAGGCUCAGUGCUGAGUUGGAGCCAAAACAGGACUAUGGAGAGACCUUAUGUCUCUCUUACUUUAGAUUUAUUUUAAUAAUACUAAUAAAGGUGUUCAGGGCUUCUGGGAACACCAUGUAGAAAGAGGCAGAGAGACUUGGAAUUAAAAUAAAUCUGUAACAAUCAGAGGAGAAUGGCUUGUGUACUGCCAGAGGCAGUUGAGUUUCAUUUUCUCUCUGAUUCUGAAAGCCGGAGAGGAACAACAGGAACAAGGAUGUAUAUCUAAGAAUUUGCCCCCAGUGCAAAGUUUAAUCCAGUAUCUACUGGCCUCAGAAUUGUGUAGGGUUUUCACUUCGGGUUAUAUACAAGCACUGUUGACUUUGUAAUUUAUUUUUUUCCACAGAGAAAAUCAAAUACUAACAUUUCUUCCCAUGCAUGGGACAACACAUCUGUUAAGGAAACAAUUUCCACAGCAAAUGGCCUGGACAUGAGACGUAGUUCCUGAAGCACUUGAUACAAUAAUAGAAAGCUGGGGGGAAGAAUUAGCUAUUUCUAUAAACAGUAGUACAAUCAGCACUCCUCUGCGAUGCGUUUGUGAUCUUGUCAGCUAUGGGUCUGAAGGAAGUUUGCAGGUCAGUCAGGAGCAUCAGUCAUUCCAAAACAGAAAGUAAUUCUGACUGUGGGGAAGUAGGAAGAAUCAGAGAUUUUUGACAACAGCGUAAGAGCUAUCAGUGACUGUCACCUGCCUGUGAUAAUGCUGGGAAAUCAGCAGAAGCGUAGCUUGGCUAAUUCAGUCUUCAUCUUCGUAAGAUCUGAGAGCAUGGUGGAAACUUGAAGAGAGGUUGGAUGAGCUCCAGGCAAAGCUAACUGGUACAAUUUAAGAUGUCACCUGUGCAUGUCUUCAGCUGGGACUGUUAGAGUAGCUGAUGGAGUUUGUGCACUCACACUCACUCAGCUGUUUCCGUACAAAGUCCAGUAACUGGAGAUAAAUGUGCUUUUCAAGGGAAAAAUUUAGCUAAGCUGUGAAGGUGCUGAGGUGCAGGCCUGUAUAACCUCUCGUGGGGGAUGGUGACAUCUUAAACUUUGCAGCUAUUUCUUCUGGGAGCAUAGUUUUUUUUUAAUUUUGUUUGUUUGUAUUGCUAGGAGCAUGAGCAAAGCAAGGACUGUGCAACACUAUAUUUUAUGUGCCUCUCUUAUUGGAAUGAAUUUUGAAAAUGCAUGUUGUGUUUUGCUUGUUUCACAGGUUCCCUCCAAAGCUUUGCUGGAGAUAGUAUUUCUGCUUUGAGGGAUUUCACUUGAUGACAGCAAUGUUACUUUCACCAUUCAUUCCUGUGUAAAUCUUUGCCACAAAAAAAAAAUAAAAAAACACUUGAAGGAAAGAACAAGAAGAGAAGCAGGAAGUUUUUACAUACUGAAAACUUCUUAUGUUGCCACUAAUACUUAAUGGUUUUAUUUUUAAUUAGUUGGAUGUUUUAUAAAUAGGCUGAGAUUCUCCUCUACUCUGGCAGCACAAAAUAUUAAGCAUGUUUAAAUAGUUGCAGAGCCUUUGGUAAGAUGGCACCACAUGAUUGUCACAGGACUGGCCUUAUGGCUCAAUACCAAAACACUAGCGCUUAAUGAUAUCUUUGUAUAUCUCCACUUAGUAUAUAAAACAGUCCUAAAAGUUUGUUCCACAGUCUCCAGCAUAAGUUAUGUUCAUAAUUACUUGAAAAUCUUUUGUCUGAUAACAUGAUAGGAAUCAUGCUUUCAAGGAUUAAAAAAAAAAAAAUCUUGUGUUUCUUUUGGAAACUGGCAAAGUCAGUAAUUUUUCAAAAUUCAUUCUGCCUUUUCUAUCAGCAGCAAAACCCACACCAGUUUAUAUCUCCUAAUGAUUUGAUUUUCAAUGCAAGAUAUCUUCAGCGUUUUGAUCAGAAAUGGCAUCCUCAAAGAAAGUCAAGAGCAAGUUGAAGAGUUGCUGCAAUGCAAUGAUUUCCAGGAUUUUGUAUAGUCAGUAUUUCCAGGUACCUCUGGUUUAAAAAUAAGUCAAAUGUGUUACUUGAGGAUAAGUGCUUGACAGUGUUUCUGGAAAGCAGUGUUUCUAACAUCUAGUUACAUAAACUGCUUAAUGUGAAAUUAUUCUAAUAAAGUUUUCCUGAGGGUAGUGGUUCAGUUUAGUUCUGCCACUCUGAGUACAGCUUUAGCCACAAAUGCUUAUUUAAGCAGCCAAAACCAGUCUGCUUGCACACAUUUUGAGUAAUACACCAGAAGCAGCAUUAUCUUCUGGUGUAGCCUAGAUGUCAUUGCAGAUUAUGCUUAUCUCUGCCAGAGCACCUGAGUGACUCAAAUAUCAGCCUGGUAACCUAGAGAGGGAGUCGUACGACCUACAAAUGCCCUCCUGAGUCUUGUCAGAUCAGCUCCAGAUCAAAACUCCUUUCAGAGAAAUGCUUAGAGUCAGACCUGAGCAUUUUCCAGUACAGCAUUUUCACAAAUACAGAGCACUAUGUCCAUGACCUUGUUCCAUUUUGAAGUUUCUUCCUGCACAACCACUGAAAGCUGAAUGACACUGAGGGUUUUGCUGCCACCUUGCCAUGCUUAAAGCUCUUCUGCAGAGAGGAUAAUGGUAGGUACCCUGUAAUUGUAUAUGCAUGCUAUGCAUACUUAUUGGUACAACAGGUACUCAAAACCUGACUAUUUUUUUCCCAGUGGGGAAACAUGCAGUAAAAUGACAAUUAUAUUUGAAUACAGUGAUCUGCAUUUCCUGGUCUUUGCUAAGUUUGCUAAAUCCCACAGAAAAUCAUAUUAGUAAAACUGAUAGUCUGUAUCUUGCAGAAUUAGGUCUUUUCCAAAGUUUUGGUGAUAGAAGACAUAUGACUACCAGGUCUUUAUUAGUCAAGAGGCUUUGGUCCAUCUCUACAGCUGAUGUUCUAAAAAGCUUCCUUUAUAAAAUUAUACUUUGGAGCCUAGUAUGAUUUUCUUGGAAAUCUGCUUUCAGUUUUCUUAGGAGAAAAAAACAAAGUCAACAGUUAUUGAAGACACUCACCGCAAUUCAUCAGGACUUCAGCACCCUGAAGCAGUUCACACAGAAGUCAAGAUACGAACAUAGAAAUAACUUCAGUGGCACGGGAAUAUUUAAAUUCAAGUAUGUGACAUCUGCAAGGUACUCUCGUAUCUCCAAGUCCACAGGCACCAAAGGUUUCACUGGAAAACUUUGCUGGGAACCUAAAAUCAUGCAAACCUUCCUAUACCCGGAGACAUUGCCACACUGUGACACAUGGUGACACAUGACCACAGGGAAUCAAGACACACAUGCCUAAAGUCAACCAAGGAUGUGUGCUGGGAAGCCGGUACACUGAGUAGUCCUUAGCUUUAUACAAAAAUAUCUGUAAUUUUCUCCUUAAGCACCCACUCAGACAUCUUUCAUUAUCUUGAUGAAUUAGUUCUGACCUGAAGGGGGUGGGAGCAUCAGCAGUGGGUGGGUGCAAGUUGCUGCCAGGACCCUGCAUGGCAUGUGAUGUGCCAAAAAACUUUGUUGUGUGAAUAGCUGUGCCUCAGGCUCCUUGGGAAGCUGGUCUGUGCUUCUGUGUCAAGCAAUACUGAGGCUGAACAGUUUGCUCAGUGCCAAGAGUGAGAUUCCCUAACCUGUGUCUUCGUGUCUGGAAAAGAAGGGCUCUCUGUGUGCUCACAUUUGCAUUGUGUUCCACUCAAGCAUGUCCAGCCAGCUGGCCCCAUAGCAGGAAACUGCUGUAGUGGGACUUCUCAGAGUUGUUUUCUUCUCUAUGAACAUUUUUGGCAGUUUAUAAAGUCAUAGAAUGUUUCAAGUUGGAAAGCACCCAUAAGCUCGUAGCACACAUUGCUUGGUUCCCUUUCAGACACCUUGCAUAGUGAGAAAAAGGUCUCCUGGUCAUGCCUGGGACCCCAUUCAUAGAUGUGCACCCUCGUAUGGGUCUUGACUACUUUGUUGACAUUACUGAAUACAUCUUGUCUUAAAAGUAUAUGAACACGUGGCCCAGAGAACGAAGGGUUAAAGCAUGGCAACACCACAAUCCCACUGCCUUUGCUAAGUUUAGGCCUGCACAGGACGUGCUUCCCCUACAUUUUGAAAGCAGCCAAAGACAGCAGGGUUUGCAUUUGGAUGUAAAAGUCAAACCUUCCUCCCUGCGGUCUGCAGCCCGCGCGCCAGCAGGAUGUUGUGGUGGGUGACAGCCAGGGGUGAAGCCCUUCUGCAGAAAAGAAAACAAAACCAGUUCAUGUCAGCAGAAGCAAGAGGGAGUAAAUGAUACAAACACAGCUAACUAAAUGAUACUGCAAAUUUUUGCUUUAUGGCAAUCCAGACUACUCGUGAUCGUGCAAGCAAAUAUUUUAAAUUUAUAUGUUUUGAACAAAAAAAGAAACAUUACUGAAGCCGUCUAGAGAACUCCUGACUUGAGCUGUUUCUUGCAAGUUGAAUGUGUUGCUGUCAAGUCUCAUGACAGUCUCCUUUAAAUUUUAGAAACAAAACUAAUCAUAUUUGCAUUGUUAUUUACAGACAAUGUCAAUAAUCUUGGCCAGUUAAUGAUGUCUUUAGGGUAAAAUGCAGACAGUUGGCAUUUUAUCCAUUUAUAAUAAUUUUUUAAAUG
RNAcentral lists this long non-coding RNA (5988 nucleotides) under Taeniopygia guttata (zebra finch). Its description in RNAcentral is "lncRNA (ENSTGUG00000021811.1)". The record is from RNAcentral. Lineage: Eukaryota; Metazoa; Chordata; Aves; Passeriformes; Estrildidae.